This 1456-nucleotide long non-coding RNA is filed under the name Daphnia magna. RNAcentral's name for it is "uncharacterized LOC123466520, transcript variant X2". Lineage: Eukaryota; Metazoa; Arthropoda; Branchiopoda; Diplostraca; Daphniidae. The record is from RNAcentral.
UUCUUCAGACGCUUCUCCAACUUUUGGUAAUGGUUAUCCCUUUUGUUUGAGUUAAACCAUUGUUUAGAAUUUAAGUCAUCACUUGUUGUAUUCGUGUAUUCUUUGUCCCAAAUACAACUCGUGUGACACUAUCCUCUGCACUUUGGUGACGCAAAAACUAUAGUUGCAUACAACAAAUCGGUAAGUAAUUACAUUUUGGUAAUAAAGGUAAACGCCAUCCAUAAUUUAUUUUUAGAUAAAAAAGCCAUUGGAUGAAAAGUGGCGGUACAAACAUGUAGAUGUACAAUGCUCACAUUUUGGCAAGCACAAGUCUAGAUCAGCUGGAAUUAGGCCGAAUCAAAGCGUUUACUCAGUUGGGUGCCCUUUCCACUUCAGGGUAGUUUUCUUUCCCUUGCUUGGCAAGUUUAAGGUUUCUUCUUGUAAUUUGGAGCAUAAAAACCAUGCUAUUUCAAAGGAUCAUAUCGAACUAUACCGUAGAAAACAGAAGCUUAAAGAAAACCCUGCUGCGUAUCAAUUUGCCACUUCCGCUUUAGCUGUUGGAGGGAAUGCAACGCUAACUAGAAAAGAAAUGAGCCAAACCUGGGGCCAUUUCUUGAAAAGGAAGGACCUUCAAAACAUGAAACAGGCAAUGACAGGAUUGUCUUCGGAAGUGUGGCAAUCUACUACGGAAAUACUUGCUAACUUGACAAGCAAUACAGAAAACAUCGUGAACGUAACCUCUGACGAAAAAGGGGAAAUAAAAUGCAUUUACGUCCAAUUGUCGGAGCAAAGAAGAUUUUAUCAACGCUAUGGCGAAGUGCUUCAACUCGAUGGAACCCAUAGCCCAUAGCCAUGGAACCCAUUUCCGUAACCAUUUGGCGGGCUUAUGGGGAAAAUUGCCCAACCCAGCUUCCCUUAUAUACGCGCCAAAAAUGUUCAAAACCCCGUUGGAAUAAAAAUUUUGGUAGCUAUGAAAACAUUACAACUAAAAAAAAAAAUCGAAAAACAUGUUUUUUUCCUAUACCUCCCUAACAAUCUCGACUACGUUGUUUAGCAGCGCCAACUACAUCCCUGAAAACGACGACACUUUUCAGGGAUAGGAGUGUCCCUUCCAUUAAGCUCUUAUACCAUGCUUGGAGCGUGGAAGGUGGAACAGUAUAUCGUGUAAAUUAUCGUGGGCAACACUGAGCAUCGCAAUCCCUGGAUGAAAAAAAAAAAAAAACUCCGCGCCGAAUCGACGAAAAAGUUCUCUGAUCUACGUGGGGCCGAGUCCUAUCUAUACGUCUUGAUAUAUAACUUCACUGCUAACGCAGUAAUUCUUGUACUUGCUUUUAUUAUGCGGUCAUGCACAAAUUCGCCAUUUUUUUUUCGUGCAAGAAGGCGUACAAACUUACUGCCCUUAUCCUUUCCUUUCUAAAAGUAAUACAUGACAGAGAACAAGCAAUGUAUGCAAAGAAUAAAAUGUUUUGAGAAACAG